GGGAUGUAGCUUAGUGGUAGAGUGCUUGCCCAGUAAACAGGAGGCUCUGGGUUCAAUCCCCAGCAUCACCA
Non-coding RNA from Sciurus carolinensis (gray squirrel), 71 nucleotides. Lineage: Eukaryota; Metazoa; Chordata; Mammalia; Rodentia; Sciuridae. The record is from the annotation of a RefSeq genome assembly.